UUGCCUAGCAGUCAGCAAAACCACUGAGCUAAAUCCCUGGCCCCAGCUGACUUGUUUUUCAUUGAGUACUUUAUUGCCCGGGAGAAGGUAUCUGCUGAGGAAGGGACAGUGACAGUGGUCUCAUUUUCCCAAAGUCUAUUCACUGUGCUCAACUUUCACUUCCACAUAUUUGCAGACCAAAGAAAAAAUGGUAUUCAUAUUCUCUUUGUUUGCCCUAGGUUUUCUAAGAGGAAAAUGCAGAAAAAUUGAGAUUCAACAGCAUACGGGAAAUUUUCUGGAAGAAAAAUACAAAGCUGUCAAGAUGAUAAUGCCAUAAAGACAUUUCACUUUUUAAAAGAAAUAUUGAAGACUAAACCCAGGCCCUCAUAUGCGCUGGGCAAGGGCUGUACUGCUGAGCUGCAUCGCCAAUAUGUAUACUCUUAAAGUAACAAAGCAAGAUCCAGAAAAAGCAAAAAGAGAGCUAGAUAACAAAGAGCCAAGCAAAACAGUGGUUUGUGGGAAAUGUGCCACCAACAGACAAGACGAGUUUCUACAUUUCUGCACAGCAAAGGAAUCAAUUAGUAGAGUGAAGAGACAACCUACAGGAUGGGAAAUAACUUUUGCCAGCUAUUCCUCAGGCAGAGGACUAAUAUCCAGAAUAUAUAAAGAACUCAAAAAAUUUAGACCACCUAAAAUAAAAG
Molecule: long non-coding RNA, 680 nt
Organism: Heterocephalus glaber (naked mole-rat)
Lineage: Eukaryota; Metazoa; Chordata; Mammalia; Rodentia; Bathyergidae
Source: RefSeq, a predicted model, not a curated record